This 460-nucleotide ribosomal RNA is filed under the name uncultured bacterium. RNAcentral describes it as "partial 16S ribosomal RNA". It matches the Rfam family "Bacterial small subunit ribosomal RNA", at positions 338 to 795 of the family's 1533-position model. The record is from RNAcentral.
CCUACGGGAGGCAGCAGUGAGGAAUAUUGGUCAAUGGGCGCGAGCCUGAACCAGCCAAGUCGCGUGAGGGAAGACGGUCCUAUGGGUUGUAAACCUCUUUUGUCGGGGAGCAAAGGGCGCCACGCGUACCGUUUCGAGAGUACCCGAAGAAAAAGCAUCGGCUAACUCCGUGCCAGCAGCCGCGGUAAUACGGAGGAUGCGAGCGUUAUCCGGAUUUAUUGGGUUUAAAGGGAGCGUAGGCGGGUUGUCAAGUCAGCGGUUAAAGUUUGAGGCUCAACCGUCGAAUGGCAGUUGAAACUGGCAUCAUUGAGUAGAGUAGAGGUAGGCGGAAUGCGGGGUGUAGCGGUGAAAUGCUUAGAUGUCACGCAGAACUCCGAUUGCGAAGGCAGCCUGCUGGACUGUAACUGACGCUGAUGCUCGAAAGUGUGGGUAUCAAACAGGAUUAGAGACCCGGGUAGUC